CCGAUUGAAUGAUUUAGUGAGGUCUUCGGACUGGCGCUCGGAGCGGCCGAAAGGUCGCGCCGGCGUGCCGGAAAGAUGACCAAACUUGAUCAUUUAGAGGAAGUAAAAGUCGUAACAAGGUUUCCGUAGGUGAACCUGCGGAAGGAUCAUUACCGACGGAAUCUCGCUGAAUCGAGAAUGCCGUUCCACAGUCCAAAACUGUGUCUCAUUCCUCCGUCUAGUGUGACGGAUGGAGUAUUCGAACGUACCUCUUCCUAGGGGUUCGGUUGUGGGGGUACCUGUUCCCUGCGGACAGAUAGUCCGCAGGGAGUGCCUCAACUUGAGGUGCCAGGUUCAAAGAGAGGCCACUUGAUCUGUAUAGUGUCCUCCGCCCUCCCGAGAACCCCUCGGAGCACGUAGCGUGGAGUUUGGGGCAGCGAAGGGCCCUCGACCGUUCCGUGUCUGUGAACGGUCGGCUCCGUGUGGCGUGUUAAAAUAAGCGUUUUUGAUUAUCCUUCGCACUCUUCUCCAAAGAGAAGGGUUGGUUUGUUCUUUCUAUUAAGAUAUUCCACCGUUGUUUAUAUGAUGGUGGAGAAAAAAAUCUUUGAAAGUAUAACUCUGAGCAGUGGAUCACUCGGCUCACGGGUCGAUGAAGAACGCAGCCAGCUGCGAGACUUGGUGUGAAUUGCAGGACACAUUGAGCACUGAUUUUUCGAACGCACAUUGCGGCCUCGGUUCCUACCCGGGGCCUCGCCUGUCUGAGGGUCGGAUGAGACUUACCGAAGGGGAAUCCUUCCCCUACUUGGUCGUACCGGGUUCUUCCCGCCGACCUAAGAGUGAGACCUCGUCUCCGAAUUUCGCCAUUUGAGUUCGGCGGCCGACGGCCGUGGAAUUCGCGAGUUCUCAAAAACGAACCGCCUGCCAUUGGUGUGUCGACUCGAAGAAGCGAAAGGAAAUACUGUCGACCUCAGAUCAGACGAGAUGACCCGCUGAAUUUAA
RNAcentral lists this ribosomal RNA (978 nucleotides) under Calisoga sp. N DHL-215. RNAcentral describes it as "eukaryotic LSU rRNA". The stretch from base 594 to 747 matches the Rfam family "5.8S ribosomal RNA". Lineage: Eukaryota; Metazoa; Arthropoda; Arachnida; Araneae; Nemesiidae. The record is from RNAcentral.